This 99-nucleotide non-coding RNA is filed under the name Arthrobacter sp. RNAcentral's name for it is "SAM-I sequence". It matches the Rfam family "SAM riboswitch aptamer (S box leader)". Rfam says of the family: The SAM riboswitch is found upstream of a number of genes which code for proteins involved in methionine or cysteine biosynthesis in Gram-positive bacteria. The SAM riboswitch acts at the level of transcription termination control. The predicted structure consists of a complex stem-loop region followed by a single stem loop terminator region. The record is from RNAcentral. Lineage: Bacteria; Bacillati; Actinomycetota; Actinomycetes; Micrococcales; Micrococcaceae.
CCACCAUCCCGAGCGGCCGAGAGACCUGGAUCGUUGACGCCGCAGCAACCCUUACCUGCUAUGCAGGAGAACGGGUGCUACUGCCAGGAGCGAUGGAGU